UACGUAGGGACCAAGCGUUGUUCGGAUUUACUGGGCGUAAAGGGCGCGUAGGCGGCAUAUUAAGUCAGCUGUGAAAUCUCCGAGCUUAACUCGGAACUGUCAGCUGAUACUGAUGUGCUAGAGUGCAGAAGGGGCAAUCGGAAUUCCCGGUGUAGCGGUGAAAUGCGCAGAUAUCGGGAGGAACACCGGUGGCGAAGGCGGUUCUCUGGGCCUUACCUGACGCUGAGGAGCGAAAGCGUGGGGAGCGAACAGG
RNAcentral lists this ribosomal RNA (253 nucleotides) under uncultured bacterium. RNAcentral's name for it is "partial 16S ribosomal RNA". It matches the Rfam family "Bacterial small subunit ribosomal RNA", at positions 524 to 776 of the family's 1533-position model. The record is from RNAcentral.